CCCCUCUGUACAUCACUUUGACAAUAAAUAAAAAAAAAAAGCAGCAGCAACAACAGCAGCAUUGGAGACAGUCAGAACACUGAAGAACGAACUUGACUUCACUGACAUUUACAGGAUUCUGUCCUGAGAAUUUCAGAAUAUAAAAUCUUUUCCAGUGUAAUGGAACGUUUAACAAAAUAGAGCAAAUGCCAAGCCAUAAAGCAAGUCUCAACAGAUUUCAAAGGGCUGAAGUAAUAGCAACAAUGUUUUCUGGCUUUAGUAGGAUUAUGAUAAAAUCAGUAACAGAAAGAAAAUUAGAAACUUCCAAAUUUGUUAAAAUUAAGUAAUACAUGCUGAAUGGCCUAUAAGCUAAAUUAGAAAAGUUACAUCUUACAAACAUAAAGUUGGGUAAUAGAAGCCAAGCAUAAAGAAGUACAUUCUGUACAAUUUUAAUUACAGAAAGUCCCACAAAGUCUUUGAUGAUAAUUAAAAUAUUUGCUUUUUUGUGGGUAGAUUACUAUUGCAGAGGUUCCUAAGAUACUGAUAAUAUUCUAGAUUAUAAUGUUUUGUGUGUUACAGGGGUAUAUCUCAGCAAAAACUGAAAACUUGUGUAUCUUAACCGAGCUCACUGGCUCACAAGUAUAAUUAUAGAUACUCGGGCUAAAUCUGAGGAUGGACAGGAAAGUACAUGAGAUUUUUGUCUCUAAUUAACCACACAAAAGACAGAGCUAGAGCUGUGGUACAAGUGAUAGAGUGCCAGCUCGAGGAACAAAGCUAAGGGAUAAGACCCCGGCCCUAAACUGAAGCCUCAAAACAGCACAACAUUUUU
Long non-coding RNA from Perognathus longimembris pacificus (Pacific pocket mouse), 808 nucleotides. RefSeq lists it as uncharacterized. NCBI's taxonomy places the organism in Eukaryota, Metazoa, Chordata, Mammalia, Rodentia, Heteromyidae. The record is from RefSeq and is a predicted model, not a curated record. The transcript is spliced from 3 exons.